Molecule: ribosomal RNA, 392 nt
Filed under: uncultured bacterium
Lineage: Bacteria
Description: partial 16S ribosomal RNA
Rfam family: Bacterial small subunit ribosomal RNA
Source: RNAcentral
AUACGGAGGAUCCGAGCGUUAUCCGGAUUCAUUGGGUUUAAAGGGUGCGCAGGCGGCCAUUUAAGUCAGCGGUUAAAUCGUGGGGCUCAACCCCAUUCUGCCGUUGAUACUGGGUGGCUUGAUUGCGGUCGAGGUUGGCGGAAUUCGUUGUGUAGCGGUGAAAUGCAUAGAUAUGACGAAGAACACCGAUUGCGUAGGCAGCUGACCAGAUCGCAAAUGACGCUCAUGCACGAAAGUGCGGGGAUCGAACAGGAUUAGAUACCCUGGUAGUCCGCACAGUAAACGAUGAAUACUUGUUUUCGGCGAUAUAAUGUCGGAGGCAAAGCGAAAGCGAUAAGUAUUCCACCUGGGGAGUACGCCGGCAACGGUGAAACUCAAAUGAAUUGACGGGG